This 230-nucleotide ribosomal RNA is filed under the name uncultured bacterium. RNAcentral's name for it is "partial 16S ribosomal RNA". It matches the Rfam family "Bacterial small subunit ribosomal RNA", at positions 562 to 791 of the family's 1533-position model. The record is from RNAcentral.
AAAGCGUGCGCAGGCGGUUAUGCAAGACAGAGGUGAAAUCCCCGGGCUCAACCUGGGAACUGCCUUUGUGACUGCAUAGCUAGAGUACGGUAGAGGGGGAUGGAAUUCCGCGUGUAGCAGUGAAAUGCGUAGAUAUGUGGAGGAACACCGAUGGCGAAGGCAGCCCCCUGGGUCAAAACUGACGCUCAUGCACGAAAGCGUGGGGAGCAAACAGGAUUAGAUACCCUGGU